Octodon degus (degu) is the source of this 65-nucleotide small nucleolar RNA. RefSeq annotates it as small nucleolar RNA SNORD24. The record is from RefSeq and is a predicted model, not a curated record. The transcript has a single exon. NCBI's taxonomy places the organism in Eukaryota, Metazoa, Chordata, Mammalia, Rodentia, Octodontidae.
UGUAGAUGAUGUGAGAGAAUAUUUGCUAUAUGAAAGAUGGUGAAGACAUUUCAAAAUGAAGUGCA